This 482-nucleotide ribosomal RNA is filed under the name uncultured bacterium. RNAcentral describes it as "partial 16S ribosomal RNA". It matches the Rfam family "Bacterial small subunit ribosomal RNA", at positions 28 to 507 of the family's 1533-position model. The record is from RNAcentral.
GACGAACGCUGGCGGCGUGCUUAACACAUGCAAGUCGAACGCUGAAGCUCAGCUUGCUGGGUGGAUGAGUGGCGAACGGGUGAGUAACACGUGAGUAACCUGCCCUCUUCUUUGGGAUAACGCCCGGAAACGGGUGCUAAUACUGGAUAUUCACUGAUUCUCGCAUGGGGGUUGGUGGAAAGGUUUUUUCUGGUGGGGGAUGGGCUCGCGGCCUAUCAGCUUGUUGGUGGGGUGAUGGCCUACCAAGGCUUUGACGGGUAGCCGGCCUGAGAGGGUGACCGGUCACAUUGGGGCUGAGAUUCGGCCCAGACUCCUACCGGAGGCAGCAGUGGGGAAUAGUGCACAAUGGGCGAAAGCCUGAUGCAGCGACGCCGCGUGAGGGAUGGAGGCCUUCGGGUUGUAAACCUCUUUCGCUCAUGGUCAAGCCGCAGCUUUGGGUUGUGGUGAGGGUAGUGGGUAAAGAAGCGCCGGCUAACUACGUG